This is a long non-coding RNA of Ficedula albicollis (Collared flycatcher), 2261 nucleotides long. RefSeq lists it as uncharacterized. The record is from RefSeq and is a predicted model, not a curated record. The transcript has 5 exons. Lineage: Eukaryota; Metazoa; Chordata; Aves; Passeriformes; Muscicapidae.
AAUUGUUAUGUGGAAGGGAAAGUUAAAACAUUCUUCAGUGAGAAUUAAUGCUUCGGUCAUAUUCUCCAGAGCUUUGCAAGGAGGAACACCUUAAGAUAAGGAGAGACAGCUUCCUAUGACAGCAGGAAAGUUUGACUCUGCUGUCAUUUAAAAUACCGUUUCAAAGGUCAUGUUUGUGUUUUAAAUGAAAUGUGAAGCUGAACUUUAUGCUCUGCCAGAUAACAGUGGUAGUGAUGCAAGUGCUUCCUUUGAAUUCUGCAGGGAGGUGACCUGAGGUACUCACCAAUUUUGUUAGCCGUUUCCUUGGGCUCAGACUGUGUUACAGAGAGACUGCUCAAGAAACAGCACCCACCUACUCCCAAGGUUUUCCCUCAGAAGUGGCACAUGGGCUCUACCUCUCCUGUCCUGCUUGUGCACCUUCUGCCCUACGUGACCAAGAUCCUGCUCUGCACCCCUGGGAGGUGUGAUUACAUCUUGCACAAACUGCAGAUAAACUAUAGAGAUAAAAUCUGGAAGACAAAGUCUUAAAACUGGAAGACAGGUGAAGAGUUCAUGAGGGCUGAGGAAGGAGCCUCAUUUGUCUUUAAUCAUACGCAGAUUGCAAAGAAUAGACACGACUCCAUUAUUUUCCCAGACAAAAUACUGCACCAUAUUCGGCACUUCUAACAACAGCAGUAUCUUGGAUAUAGAUAGCAAAGGAAGGUAUGAAGGGUAUGAACGCUGGCUUGAGAAAAGCUGCCAACAAUUUUCCCUACAGAGGAGCAUGAAAGAAUGUUGGCACUAGGGAUUCAGUUAUCAGUGGGAGAGGUUUUGCAAAGACAAAAAUAAAGGAUUUGCCUGCAAGUUUGUGGCACUCACUCUCAGAAGUGCUGCAUGAAGGCAUAUCCCUAUGGGUACUGCUGGUGUAAUGUGAAUAAUUGAGAAAAUGGUGCUUGGUUUUAGGACUAAGUGUAUUGUCAACACAAAAUGCCUCCAGGAGUUUUCUAGUGCAAUACAGGCAAGGUCCUUCAGUUGCAGGGGAAAUAUUCUGGUGGCCAGCUAGGGGAGAACCUAGGUCCUUUAAAUCCCCAGUUUAACCUAUCUGCUUGCCAUAGUCUCUCUGAUUUUACUACCUUGGCAAUUAUCUUGUUUGCUCUCUUCAUCUUUUCCUCAUACAUCCAAAGCAUGAAAUUGUGUUUUCAUAGCAUAAAUUCACCGGUCAGGGUAUGUGACGUUUGGAUUCUUUUUUAAAGAAAAAGUGAGCAUCAGCAAUUUUUUGCCAGCUGAGUGGCACAAACCUAUCCCAAAACAGGAAUCAGAUUCUUGCCUAAAUACUGCUGCACAGAAGUUUCCAACUCCACAUUGGCAAGGUGUGAUGGGCGUUACCUCGAUGUGAGCAAUAUGGAUCUGGGGCACACCUGUGCAGGAACCUGCAGUGGGUGGCCAGCAAAGCCUUGUGAGAAACCCUGCCUGGCUUUCUGGAGGCUGCUCCGUGAGUGGAAAGCCCUGCUCAUUGCCAGCAAGAAGUCAAAACUUUUCCAAGGUCCUUGUAAGGUGCUCAGGGAGCUGGUUUCCAGCAAGAAGGCAGGAAGAAACAGCCUCUAUUUUAAGGAGAUUAUCUUCAACAAAGAUUUAUCAAGCGGAAGUACAGCGAAGGCUGAAGCCAAGGCACAUAUUCCUGUGACCCAGUUACCUUCCAGAAACCCAGGCAGGACAGAAAGGACUCUGGCUUCCAGCUACAAGAGAGCUGCUGAGCAUUAACACAUAGUAACCUAAUUAAUUUAUUCCCCCAGUGGAUAAUUACUAGCUUUUUCUUUUUCUUGUUGCAAAGUAGCAGCCAAAUAAUGGUGCUGAUUUUAAUUAACUAGCCAAUGGGAGGCUGGAUGGGUUGAGGAGAGAUUUCAUACAAAAAUUAAUUAAUGCUCUGACCUACUUUAAAGUGUUGCUUAAGUGGAAAUUGGGGGGAAGCUGACUUCAAUCACUUAUGGAUCUUUUCAUAUCCUUUUAACCGGUCAAGUAAUGAGGCUUUCUUUGUGAUCCACAGCACUUCAAUUGGCAACCUAAAAGAAUUCAGUGAACACACCAGAAAUACGUAAUUCCCAAGGCAAACAUAAUUUCCUCUUAAUGAACACACCUGAGUUAGCAAAGGAAAAAGUCCUUCUUUCUCAAACCAAGCCCCUGGUUUAUUGCCAAGCUUAACUCAGGACAUGCGAUGGGUAAUAUGAGCUCCAUUUUAAACAAACUAGAACUAUCUCUAUGUUUCUUCCUUUUGUCUUCCCAAU